AGAGAAGUUACAAAGGGCGAACGGAGGAUGCCUUGGCUUCUGGCGGCGAUGAAGGACGCGGUAAGCUGCGAAAAUGUGCGGGGAUCUGCAAACAGGAUUUGAUCCGCACGUAUCCGAAUGGGACAACCCGGCAGGUUGAAGGCCUGUCACUCAGAGAUGAGAGCCAACGCGGAGAACUGAAACAUCUAAGUAUCCGCAGGAAAAGAAAGAAAUAUCGAUUUCCAGAGUAGUGGCGAGCGAAAUGGAAACAGCCUAAACCGAUGUUGUUGCGGCAAUGUCGGGGUUGUAGGACCGGCCAUAAGAUUAUCAUGAUUGAACUGGAACGUUCUGGAAAGUUCGAUCAUAGAGGGUGAUAAUCCCGUACAGGUAAGAUUAUGAUGACAAGGCCGGCACCUGAGUAGGGCGGGACACGUGAAAUCCUGUCUGAAUCCGCGGGGACCAUCCCGCAAGGCUAAAUACGACCAGAAGACCGAUAGUGGACCAGUACUGUGAAGGAAAGGUGAAAAGCACCGUGAACAACGGGGUGAAAAAGAACCUGAAACCGUUCGCUUACAAGCGGUCGGAGUCCCGCGAGGGAUGACGGCGUGCCUUUUGCAUAAUGAGCCUACGAGUUACUUCUCACCGGCGAGGUUAAGCACUUCAGGUGCGGAGCCGAAGCGAAAGCGAGUCUGAACAGGGCGCUUAGUCGGUGGGAGUAGACGCGAAACCUUGUGAUCUACCCUUGGCCAGGUUGAAGGAACCGUAACAGGUUCUGGAGGACCGCACCAGUUUCCGUUGAAAAGGAUUUGGAUGAGCUGAGGGUAGGGGUGAAAGGCUAAUCAAACUGGGAGAUAGCUCGUACUCCCCGAAAUGUCUUUUGGGACAGCCUCGAUUUAGCUUGCAUGAGGUAGAGCUACUGAUAGGAUGCGAGGGCUUCACCGCCUAUCAAAUCCUGACAAACUCCGAAUGCGUGCAAGUGAUGAUCGGGAGUGAGUCGCCGGGUGCUAAUGUCCGGUGGCGAGAGGGAAAGAGCCCAGACCAACAGCUAAGGCCCCCAAUGGUGUGCUAAGUUGAUAGAACGAUGUUCGGUUGCCUAGACAGCUAGGAUGUUAGCUUGGAAGCAGCUAUUCAUUUA
This 1114-nucleotide ribosomal RNA is filed under the name Bacteroidales bacterium. RNAcentral's name for it is "partial 23S ribosomal RNA". It matches the Rfam family "Bacterial large subunit ribosomal RNA", at positions 1 to 1125 of the family's 2925-position model. Lineage: Bacteria; Pseudomonadati; Bacteroidota; Bacteroidia; Bacteroidales. The record is from RNAcentral.